Molecule: long non-coding RNA, 2553 nt
Organism: Mus musculus (house mouse)
Lineage: Eukaryota; Metazoa; Chordata; Mammalia; Rodentia; Muridae
Product: RIKEN cDNA 5430403N17 gene
Exons: 3
Source: RefSeq, marked validated
AACAAAGAAUCUGCUUUCCCUUUGUGUUGUUAACUGAGUUAGUUCUUCCAACUUUCUGCUGCUGACAAUGGUAACACUGGGCUUCGCUGAAUGCUGGGUGGACAGUAGAUGGCUACUUAACAGAGAUGCACGACUGGUCAACAUAUAGAAAAAUAAAGGACUAUGGAAAGCUCAGCCCUAAAUGGAACAUCUGUGUCACGCCCUGUGCUCCCAAGACUUAUGACUCAUCGUGGAAGAAGGGGCAGAAUGACUGAGAGCCAGAGGUAGUGGACAUCUGGCAAAACGUUGUUCUCCAGAUAUGACAAGGCUGUAACACACAGGCUUCAGCAGCUGUCAAAUGGUGAUCAUGUGGCCCACGGUGAGAAAACCUCCUGGUAUAACUAGUGGGAACUGCUCGGCCACCUUCCCUUCCCCCAGCUGUGUGAUGCAAUGGUGCAAUUCUGUCUCCUCAAAACCAGACAUCCUCUCUCACUGGAGGAUUCCAGGGGUGGCUUAUCACUGCAGAGCACUCUGUAGACAUUCUCCAGACGACCACCAUGUGCCAGGCUUAGCACAUUACUAAAGCAACAAGCAUCCCAGCAGGACACCCACUUUGCAAGGAAGACACUGCCAUGCCAGGGAAGAAUCCAGGAAGAAUUAUAACACUGGGGCUUCUGAGAAAGCUGAUUAAGUGGCCUGACUGGAAAGUGACUGGCAUCCUCAGGGCAGAGAACCUCCAAGGAGCUGGGAGGUGAGAGCUGUAGGGAUGACUCAGGCAGGAAUCUGGAGAGAGCAGGGUGGGGCACGUAAUUCACUGCCUAAAACCCAAAGCCAGUUCCCCACCUUCCAGCGGUACAAUCGGUCCCUGAUACUUCAAGUUGAGAACGAAGCAGGAAAGGAGGAAGCCCAGGAAUCAGAAAGACGGAAUGACUUUGCAUUUAGCAUUGAUUCGAAAAUGCUAAAUUACCUCUAAAUUACCUCUUCACAUGCCUGAUCUAAAAUUGGAAUCCACCCUCUAAUCUUGAGCAUUUUACAGUUUUUGUCCACCACACCCCCACCCCUCGCCCCCAUCUACCCUCCCGGCAUGCAUGUGACCCUAAGGCACGCGCGCGGCUCACUUGUCAAUGCCUGCGUGCGCAAACUUGUCCACAGCUACUGUCAUUGUCAUUUCUUCCUCAGGAUUUUGAGUUUUGUUUCUACCCCACAUGUCGGGUUUAAUGGCCGUGUAAAAUGUCUUCAGCAAGAUCAUCUUGGAGGGUUCGCACUGACAGGAAAACUUACAGUGUGUUCAGGUAGGCGAGGGACCCAGAGCUCGUACCGUCCUGAUUGUUAUGUGUGAAAUGAAUAGUCUUUCUGAGAAAAAGGUUUACUAUUACAUAGCGGCCUCACAAAAAACAAAUCAAGUAUUUUACAGCUUUGUUAGUCCAGGCAAGGGCACCCUAGCAAUGCCCGGGCCAUUUGUUAGAAUGACAGAAUCUCGGGUUGUAUGGAUACCCACUGACUCUGGUUAUACUGAGGUGACUUCUCCAUCCAACUGUCAAAACUACCACCUCUACCUCGGUCUUAUUACAGCGCUUUCUUCUCUUUUAUUGUCUGUGAACUAAUGAUGGAACUUAAAUAUAAAGGGCACGUGGGACUCAAUUAGGCAUGGCCGGUGACAUCUCUGCAGGCACAAUGUGAAAUAAAACCACCUUCUUCAGUGAGGGGGGGCUGGCAGCCAGGAAGAUGGGUAGUCUCCUAGGAGGACCAUGAACACCAAUAAAACCAUGAAUCACCCGAGACCUUGGUGCUGUGACACAGCUGGCUGAGAGGAGCCCCACCUGCGGACUGUUGUAGUGGGGAUUUGGGAGUUAGUUACAUGUGAUAUCUACUAAUAAUGAUACUCAACGUAGUCCCUCUUGUGGAGGGACCUGGGCACGGAACCCAUGGCUUUGCGUAUGCUGGGUUGGCGUUGUGUCAAUGAGCUACAGCCUCAGCCUUCAAUGAAUUCUGUAGUCAACAUUUGAUUUUUUUUUUUCCUUAGCUCCUCAUGCUGAUCCCUUACUAUUGAGAAGCACAACAAACCCUGUAGGGAAACACUGUGAACUAAGACCCGAUGUUUGGGUGGUAAUGGCUUUUUACUUAUAGAGAUGACAUUUACCAGACUAACCUGGUUGGCAAGUAGCCGAGUUGGGGACCGGACUCUCCAGAUUCUGGCUUUGCUUUGGCAAUUCUAAGUGGGAAGAUAGUGUUGGUGACAUUUUAUGCAAGAGAAUUGGGGGUCCAGUAUGCUCAAGAGACUCAGAUUCUGAGCUGUCCUGUGAGCCAAUUAAUUGCCUCUUCAUCUAAGCCAGUUCUCAACUGCUGACACCCUUUAAUACAGUACCUCAGGUUAUGGUAAACCCCCAACCGUAAAAUUAUUUUCAUGGAUACAUUAUAACUUUAAUUUCGCUUCUGUGUGAAUCGAAUAUUUUUUGAAGACGGAAGUUUGCCAAAGGAGUCUCGACCCACAGGUUGAAAAUCAUGAUCUAAUUCAUCUCUUGUCCUUCUGCCCCCAGCUCCUCAGUAAAAGUCGACAUGCUCAUUUAUGAUUUU